ACAAAGAAAGCUGAGUGAAGGGAGAGUAACAUCUUAGGCAUAAGUUCCUUAUCUUUUGCAGGGUAGAACCUCAACCGUGUCUUGCACUAAGCUACUCAAUUUCUUCUCCUUCACUCUGCUGAGUGCUGCUGUCUCCCUCAAAGAACUCAUGGCCGCCACACUCACUCUUCUAAAGCUUCCAAUUCUUCCUAACAAGCCAUUACUGCCACGCCCAUCAACCUCAAAACUUGUUCCAUUUCCUUCCAUCUAUUCAAAGUUAAAUAUCCCAAAAGAUUCUAACCCACAAAAUUUACCCUUCUUAGAUCAAAACAUCGAUGCUCUCAAGCCUGUCUUUCUUUCCCUCUCAGCAAUCUCUUUUCCAUUGUUAUUAGAAACCAAGGAUGCUCUUGCUGUUGGAGGAGAGUUUGGGAUAUUGGAAGGAAGAUCAUUUGCUCUCAUACACCCCAUUGUGAUGGGUUCUUUUUUCUUGUAUACCUUGUGGGCAGGGUAUUUGGGGUGGCAAUGGCGGCGAGUUAGGACAAUCCAGAAUGAUAUUAAUGAACUCAAGAAACAAGUCAAACCUAACCCAGUCACCCCAGAUGGCAAACCAGUGGAAGAAGCAGCACCAUCACCAGUUGAACUCCAAAUACAGCAACUCACUGAGGAAAGAAAAGAGCUGAUAAAAGGUUCCUAUAAGGAUAGACACUUCAAUGCAGGAUCCAUACUUCUAGGAUUUGGGGUGCUUGAGUCAGUUGGUGGAGGAGUGAACACAUGGUUUAGGACAGGAAAGCUUUUUCCCGGUCCACAUUUAUUUGCGGGAGCAGCUAUUACUGCUUUAUGGGCACUGGCAGCAGCCCUGGUACCAUCAAUGCAAAAAGGAAAUGAAACAGCCAGAAAUCUUCACAUCGCGCUGAAUGCAGUAAACGUUCUGCUCUUUGUGUGGCAGAUUCCCACUGGAAUUGACAUUGUGUUCAAGGUGUUUGAGUUCACAACAUGGCCUUGAAUGUAAGAUUCUAAAUUAAAAAAGAGAAGAACAAGAACACGCACAAACUUAGAAGACUAACGGAAAAAAAGAUCACCGAAUAUAACCAAAUACAAAGCAAGUGCAAAGUUUGAUGGAGCAUUUUAAGUAUGGAUUUUUAAGAGAAUGGAACUGAUGUGGUAAGGAAUACAGUUUAAGUCUCUUGUUGAUCAGUAAAUAAGCUACUGCUUCAAAUAUUGUUCUCUUUUACCAUUGCAGAGGAUCUGUACUAAUCAAACGCACCCUAGGUGUGUAUUACAUAUAGAAUAUUAAAUAUAUAAAUUAGAAGUACUAAA
Glycine soja is the source of this 1296-nucleotide RNA transcript. RefSeq lists it as uncharacterized. The transcript has 6 exons. NCBI's taxonomy places the organism in Eukaryota, Viridiplantae, Streptophyta, Magnoliopsida, Fabales, Fabaceae. The record is from RefSeq and is a predicted model, not a curated record.